Molecule: long non-coding RNA, 779 nt
Filed under: Oreochromis niloticus (Nile tilapia)
Lineage: Eukaryota; Metazoa; Chordata; Actinopteri; Cichliformes; Cichlidae
Description: lncRNA (ENSONIG00000042164.1)
Source: RNAcentral
ACAUUUAUAGUUUUAUUCACCACUCCUGUUAGUUUUGGAUGCGCUCGGCUCCAACCAAUCAGACCAAUUUACGCUAACGGCGCACUAAUCCCGUAACUGCACACUACCCAUAAGCCUCAAACACCGUUGCUAUGGAAAUGAAAAUAAUCAACAGCUUGGUGCUACCCGUUAUUCCUUUAUUUACUCUAAAAUAAUAACCAGCGAUAAUACGAAAAUAAACUGGCCCAGUGUUUAAUUAUGUAAUUACAAAUUGCAAAUUUUAUUUUUUUAUUUUAUUUUAUUUCAUUUUUUGCAAUAUUUAUCUACAGCGUGCCUUCAGCGACACGUAAACAGAUCUUAAGCAAGGCGAUUGGAUGGUUUUUACUGCAAUGCAUCUUGGGAGUCGUAGUAAAUGGAUCUUUCAACUCACCGUCCAGCGAAUUUUUCGACUCGACACGAGGCAGAUCUUAGCUAGAGCAGUCUGUGUACCAAGAGAACUACUUCUGCAAAGAAAUUAUAAAGCCAAAAACCAAACCAUGCCCUUCCUGUCAGGCUCCAAGCACCUGCAACAGGAAGACAUGCAGUGGAUGCCUGGGCAGCCUGAACGUAAAGGAGGGAUUGAAAAAAAAAAAAACAAGAACAGCAACUGGGCUGCCUCUGUUAAAAAAAAACAGAAAUGCGAGCAGGGUGGUCAAUUCAGCCCAGUUAUCAGUAAGGUUUCAAAACUACAUGCCCUGCCAAUUCUGUUUCUUGGACAGUUUGACCGAAAGGGCCGUAUAGUAGGGGACGUGAUCACAUAG